UACAGAGGUCCCAAGCGUUGUUCGGAUUCAUUGGGCGUAAAGGGUGCGUAGGUGGCAUGGUAAGUCGGGUGUGAAAUCCCGGGGCUCAACCCCGGAACUGCACUCGAUACUGCCGUGCUCGAGUACUGGAGAGGAGACUGGAAUUUACGAUGUAGCAGUGAAAUGCGUAAAUAUCGUAAGGAAGACCGGUGGCGAAGGCUAGUCUCUGGACAGUUACUGACACUGAGGCACGAAGGCCAGGGGAGCAAACGGG
Molecule: ribosomal RNA, 253 nt
Filed under: uncultured bacterium
Lineage: Bacteria
Description: partial 16S ribosomal RNA
Rfam family: Bacterial small subunit ribosomal RNA
Source: RNAcentral